AAAAAUACGUUGAUCGGAAAAAGUAGAGCUGUGUUAUGCGCGUCAAAGAGAGCCGGGAUGGUGGAAACCGGCACGCAGCAGCAGCUCGAAUGGGUCCGUGAGUGGCAGCUUGAACUCGUUAAGUAGAGCGCCCGGCAUCCGGCCGUUAACCGGUUUUAAGGGGAAGCUGUAUGGCUUCAACGAGAGGUGGCACCGCGGGAAACCGUCCUUCAU
RNAcentral lists this non-coding RNA (213 nucleotides) under Domibacillus antri. RNAcentral's name for it is "T-box sequence". It matches the Rfam family "T-box leader". From Rfam's summary of the family: Uncharged tRNA acts as the effector for transcription antitermination of genes in the T-box leader family. T-boxes are found upstream of many aminoacyl-tRNA synthetase genes and some amino acid biosynthetic genes usually in Gram-positive bacteria. The record is from RNAcentral. Lineage: Bacteria; Bacillati; Bacillota; Bacilli; Caryophanales; Bacillaceae.